RNAcentral lists this long non-coding RNA (701 nucleotides) under Pelobates cultripes (western spadefoot toad). The record is from RNAcentral. Lineage: Eukaryota; Metazoa; Chordata; Amphibia; Anura; Pelobatidae.
AUGACAUGUUUACACAGUCAUGGCCCUCACUUAGAAUUUACCCAGAUGUGCUUUUUUUCUCAAUUAUGAGUUUUUGCCACUGGGAUUUUUGACCUGGCCCAAGUUCACUGGGUGGACUGGUAAUCCAAGACCCUGGUCCAAAGAGGGGAAAUAGAUUUUAUUCCCAUUUUUGAUUAUAUGUGUUUACGUUGUGAAUUAUAAUAAUAAUAUUCCCGUUGUUGGGAAUAAUACACUUUGCCUGUUUUGAUCCAAGGCUCAAGUUGCAGAUAACAUGAUGUGCAGUUAAGAUGUCAGCUGUUUGAAAUAUUUAACUUGUACACUUAAAAGAUGUGUACAACAGAUGAUUACAGAAGCUGAAAAUCGACAGCUCGAUCUCCUCUUAAAGGGAAAACCUACGGCAUAGAGCAAAUGGGGGAAAUCGAGGUGAAGAAAUAAGGAAAGUCCCGCAGACGUGAUUAGCACGUCUGAAUAUACCUCCUUUUGUUUCUCUGCCGCAGGCCUCCCAUGGAUAUUCCAUAAGGUAGAUCAUGAUAUGAUCUAAGAGGGGAAUUGUAGAUGCGAAUAUCCAUUUUGCUCUAUAUCCUAACUGUUCAUGUAAGGGUUAAUUUGAAUCAAGAAUAAAUUUGGAAUUGUAUCUCCAAUUCUCAGAAAUGUUAUUGAAACAUGAUUUUGUUAUGUUCCUGGAAAAAAGAUAUUUGCAU